This 72-nucleotide transfer RNA is filed under the name Dictyocaulus viviparus (bovine lungworm). It matches the Rfam family "tRNA". Rfam says of the family: Transfer RNA (tRNA) molecules are approximately 80 nucleotides in length. Their secondary structure includes four short double-helical elements and three loops (D, anti-codon, and T loops). Further hydrogen bonds mediate the characteristic L-shaped molecular structure. tRNAs have two regions of fundamental functional importance: the anti-codon, which is responsible for specific mRNA codon recognition, and the 3' end, to which the tRNAs corresponding amino acid is attached (by aminoacyl-tRNA synthetases). tRNAs cope with the degeneracy of the genetic code in two manners: having more than one tRNA (with a specific anti-codon) for a particular amino acid; and 'wobble' base-pairing, i.e. permitting non-standard base-pairing at the 3rd anti-codon position. The record is from Rfam by way of RNAcentral. Lineage: Eukaryota; Metazoa; Nematoda; Chromadorea; Rhabditida; Metastrongylidae.
GCCUCGGUAGUGUAAUGGAAAGGACGGCAGACCGGAUAUCUGUAAGUUCGGGUUCGAGUCUCGCCUGAGGUU